This 253-nucleotide ribosomal RNA is filed under the name uncultured bacterium. RNAcentral describes it as "partial 16S ribosomal RNA". It matches the Rfam family "Bacterial small subunit ribosomal RNA", at positions 524 to 776 of the family's 1533-position model. The record is from RNAcentral.
UACGGAGGGUGCAAGCGUUAUCCGGAUUCACUGGGUUUAAAGGGUGCGUAGGUGGGUUGGUAAGUCAGUGGUGAAAUCUCCAGGCUUAACUUGGAAACUGCCGUUGAUACUAUCAAUCUUGAAUACCGUGGAGGUCAGCGGAAUAUGUCAUGUAGCGGUGAAAUGCUUAGAUAUGACAUAGAACACCAAUUGCGAAGGCAGCUGGCUACACGAAUAUUGACACUGAUGCACGAAAGCGUGGGGAGCAAACAGG